GGCGUAAAGCGUGCGCAGGCGGUUAUAUAAGACAGAUGUGAAAUCCCCGGGCUCAACCUGGGAACUGCAUUUGUGACUGUAUAGCUAGAGUACGGUAGAGGGGGAUGGAAUUCCGCGUGUAGCAGUGAAAUGCGUAGAUAUGCGGAGGAACACCGAUGGCGAAGGCAAUCCCCUGGACCUGUACUGACGCUCAUGCACGAAAGCGUGGGGAGCAAACAGGAUUAGAUAGU
This 230-nucleotide ribosomal RNA is filed under the name uncultured bacterium. RNAcentral describes it as "partial 16S ribosomal RNA". It matches the Rfam family "Bacterial small subunit ribosomal RNA", at positions 557 to 786 of the family's 1533-position model. The record is from RNAcentral.